RNAcentral lists this ribosomal RNA (273 nucleotides) under uncultured bacterium. RNAcentral's name for it is "partial 16S ribosomal RNA". It matches the Rfam family "Bacterial small subunit ribosomal RNA", at positions 524 to 796 of the family's 1533-position model. The record is from RNAcentral.
UACGAAGGGGGCUAGCGUUGCUCGGAAUCACUGGGCGUAAAGGGCGCGUAGGCGGACCUUUAAGUCAGGGGUGAAAGCCUGUGGCUCAACCACAGAAUUGCCUUUGAUACUGAGGGUCUCGAGACCGGAAGAGGUUGGUGGAACUGCGAGUGUAGAGGUGAAAUUCGUAGAUAUUCGCAAGAACACCAGUGGCGAAGGCGGCCAACUGGUCCGGUUCUGACGCUGAGGCGCGAAAGCGUGGGGAGCAAACAGGAUUAGAUACCCCCGUAGUCC